ACAAGCGGAGGAGCAUGUGGUUUAAUUCGAUGAUACGCGAGGAACCUUACCUGGGCUCGAACGUAAGAUGACUGUAGGUGAAAGCUUACAUCUCUUCGGAGCAUUUUACGAGGUGCUGCAUGGUUGUCGUCAGCUCGUGCCGUGAGGUGUCGGGUUAAGUCCCAUAACGAGCGCAACCCUACCUUUAGUUGCCAUCAGGUUAAGCUGGGGACUCUAAAGGAACUGCCUACGCAAGUAGUGAGGAAGGCGGGGAUGACGUCAAAUCAGCACGGCCCUUACGUCCAGGGCUACACACGUGCUACAAUGGCCGAUACAGAGGGCAGCUACCUGGUGACAGGAUGCAAAUCUCCAAAGUCGGUCUCAGUUCGGAUCGGAGUCUGCAACCCGACUCCGUGAAGCUGGAAUCGCUAGUAAUCGCGCAUCAGCCAUGGCGCGGUGAAUACGUUCCCGGGCCUU
RNAcentral lists this ribosomal RNA (456 nucleotides) under uncultured Sphingobacteriales bacterium. Its description in RNAcentral is "bacterial SSU rRNA". It matches the Rfam family "Bacterial small subunit ribosomal RNA", at positions 925 to 1382 of the family's 1533-position model. Lineage: Bacteria; Pseudomonadati; Bacteroidota; Sphingobacteriia; Sphingobacteriales. The record is from RNAcentral.